GACAGAGGGUGCAAACGUUGUUCGGAAUUACUGGCGUAAAGCGAGUGUAGGCGGUUUGGUAAGUCGGAUGUGAAAGCCCCGGGCUCAACCCGGGAAGUGCACUCGAUACUGCCAAGCUAGAGUAUCGGAGAGGUUGGUGGAAUUCUCGGUGUAGAGGUGAAAUUCGUAGAUAUCGAGAGGAACACCGGUGGCGAAGGCGGCCAACUGGACGAAUACUGAC
Molecule: ribosomal RNA, 220 nt
Filed under: uncultured bacterium
Lineage: Bacteria
Description: partial 16S ribosomal RNA
Rfam family: Bacterial small subunit ribosomal RNA
Source: RNAcentral